GACAUCCCCUGACAACCCAAGAGAUGGGCGUCCCUUCGGGGACAGGGUGACAGGUGGUGCAUGGUUGUCGUCAGCUCGUGUCGUGAGAUGUUGGGUUAAGUCCCGCAACGAGCGCAACCCUCGCCUCUAGUUGCCAGCAUUCGGUUGGGCACUCUAGAGGGACUGCCGGCGACAAGUCGGAGGAAGUGGGGAUGACGUCAAAUCAUCAUGCCCCUUAUGACCUGGGCUACACACGUGCUACAAUGGGCGGUACAAAGGGCUGCGAACCCGCGAGGGGGAGCGAAUCCCAAAAAGCCGCUCUCAGUUCGGAUUGCAGGCUGCAACUCGCCUGCAUGAAGCCGGAAUCGCUAGUAAUCGCGGAUCAGCAUGCCGCGGUCGAAUACGUUCCCGGGCCUU
RNAcentral lists this ribosomal RNA (396 nucleotides) under uncultured Geobacillus sp. RNAcentral's name for it is "bacterial SSU rRNA". It matches the Rfam family "Bacterial small subunit ribosomal RNA", at positions 983 to 1382 of the family's 1533-position model. Lineage: Bacteria; Bacillati; Bacillota; Bacilli; Caryophanales; Anoxybacillaceae. The record is from RNAcentral.